GAUACGAGUUUGAUCAUGGCUCAGGAUGAACGCUAGCGGCAGGCCUAAUACAUGCAAGUCAAGGGGAUAGCAAUAUCACCGGCGGACGGGUGCGUAACGCGUACACAACGUGCCCAAGGGCGGAGGAAAGCGGCGGGAAACUGCCGGUAAUACUCCAUGGUGUUGUUGAGUGGCAUCACUUAACAACUAAAGUACAAGCGCCCUUGGAUCGGUGUGCGUUCGAUUAGCUAGUUGGCGGGGUAACGGCCCACCAAGGCUUCGAUCGAUAGGGGGUGUGAGAGCAUGACCCCCCACACGGGUACUGAGACACGGACCCGACUCCUACGGGAGGCAGCAGUAAGGAAUAUUGGACAAUGGGCGGAAGCCUGAUCCAGCCAUGCCGCGUGAAGGACGAAGGCGCUCAGCGUUGUAAACUUCUUUUGGAUGGGAACAAUAACUCCGACUUGUCGGAACUUGAGGGUACCAUCAGAAUAAGCACCGGCUAACUCCGUG
This 492-nucleotide ribosomal RNA is filed under the name uncultured bacterium. Its description in RNAcentral is "bacterial SSU rRNA". It matches the Rfam family "Bacterial small subunit ribosomal RNA", at positions 1 to 507 of the family's 1533-position model. The record is from RNAcentral.